UUAUGAUGCCCGCAAGCGCGUCUCGUAACCUCCUUCCUCCACUGUUCGUCGAUCGCCUGUUUCGUCUCCCGGAGAUUGCGAUCCUCUUCGCGAGCCUGCGGUCGGGCUCUCAGAAGAAGCAUCACCGUCGAGCUCGCGAGAAGGCGGUGGCUGUCCCCUCUCUCUCUCUGACUGCUCUCAUCACGAUUUUUUUAAAUUAUGAAUAAAUGAGAGAUGAAUUAAGGUUUGCUUGUUGAUUUUAGGGAAAAGGAACCAUUUUUGCGGCUAAUGGUAUGAUUUUUUAGCUCUGCAACUAAUUUUGUCGUCGGCCAAUUGAUGUUGCUGUUCUGAUCGUUCUUCGGUUCUUAAAUAUAGUCCUGUUCCUGGGUAACUGAAAACGUUGAGGGCAGGUGUUUUGAGUAACGGGUAGAUGGGAUUUGCUCAUUUUCUCUUCACUACAAGAAUUUGAUGUGGUGAUUGUUCAUGUUGGCAUCAAAAGUGGUAAUAUCCAAGAUUGUUGUGCUCAUAUCAACCAGUUAUGAUCUAUGAAUGAAUGCUACGAAUUCGUUUCCUUUUUUCUUAUAUGAUAUAUUGAUAUGCUGCAGUGCAGAUGGAAGAUAUGGAUUGGUGGUUGUGCUUCUUUUGAGUUUGGAAAUGCUCAUCCUUUCGUUGAAAUCAUUCUCUUGUUUUGAAGGAGACAACUAGGACUAUCUUACUUUGUGCUAAAUUGGCUGUCCUGACAUGCUUUUAAACAAAGAGAUUAACAAAAAAAUUUCUUUAAAUAGCUUAUGAGACACACAAAUAUGGACUCGAACCUGAAACUUAUCACUUGUGCAACAAUACACUAACGAGUAAGAUGUUUCUACUAAUAUGCUCACAUGAAGCUUGCUAAAGGCAUAUUGCUUGAUUUUUUGAAUGAGGUUUUUUACUGCUUCCACAAGGACUUAAAGUUUCAUUUACUCAAAGGUGAUGAGCUUCCAUCAGGGGUACUAUCUUAUGAGAGUAUAUGUCAUUGGUAACAAGCAUUUCUGGUGGUUGACUGAUCAAGAAUCAGUCAACAUUAGUUUUUAUCCAUUUAUUUGCAUCUCUGCUUGAUGGUAAUGGCAGGGCACAUCAUUUUUACUUAGUCAUUUGUGUCAGCACACUGGUCAGCCUUUCACCACAAUGGUAAUAGAGUAUAUGAUAUAGCUAAUAAGAAUGUGGUUGACCGAUCAGGAUUAUGCCAACAUGAUAUUUUCACCCAUUUUUAAUAUUUAUGGUAGUAUCUGGGCAUAUUAUUUUUAUUUAGUCAUGAGUUUUGGUAGAGUGAUUAGCCUUUCACCUUUUUCUUCCUCAGGAAAAUCCAGAAGAAGUAGAUCAGCUUUUGCACAACACUUGGUUCGAAAUGCAUGCAGCAGUGUGGUCAGGUUGGCAUUCACCAAAAUCUCAGAAACACUUCUGCAAGCACACAACAGUUAGGAUUUGGUUCAGACAGUGCGCAAAAUAGUGGCACCUCAUUCCUUUCUCUGGCUAAGGGAAGUAAGAGGCUGAGAAGUUAUUACCAUUUGGAGCCUGUCAAGCGAGAUCAAGGCACAGAGCAAGUCAAGCAAGAUCGGGGAACAGAAACCAUCAAAGAAGAGCAUUCUGAUAGACCUGAUGAUGAUGAUUCCGUUACCUUUAUGUUUGACAACAUAAAAACAGAGAUUGUUUAAAUAACAGAAAUAGAUGGUUCAGAUAGUGUGCAAAAUAGUGGCACCUCAUUCCUUUCUUGUGCCAAGGAAAGUAAGAGGCUGAGAAGUGAUUACCAUUUGGAGCUUAUCAAGUGAGAUCAAGGCACAGAGCCUGUAAAGCAAGAUCAGGGAGCAGAAACCAUCAAGUAAGAGUAUUCUGGUAAACCUGAUGAUGGUUGAUUCCAUUACCUUUAUGUUUGACAACAGACAGGCAGAGAGUGGCAAAAUGCAGAAAGAGGUGGGGUUGUCAGCGAUGAAGGGGUUGAGAAGUUGGUGAAUCUAAUGCAACUUGGUAAAACUGAAAAAAUAGAUUUGUUUGGUCAGAUAAUGCUUUGUGCAGUUGGAAGUUGCCUGUAAACCUAAAUGCUCUGCAGAUUUGUAACAUUGUUAAGUCGGUGAAUAAUUUGUGCAGUCGCAAUAAUAUGUAGAUCCAGAGGAAAGCUAGGAGUCUUGUUUGGCACUUGGAAGGAACAGGUUGAAGCUGAAAUGUCAAAAAUUGAUGCGAAUUCUGUCAGGCAGCCUGUUUCAGGGCCAGUCAAACCAGGUUAUUCUUAUGUUACUGAAGGAAUUAAGAAAUAAACGCACUGGAUCAACUAGAACAUCAGCAUGCAAACCUCUGCCUGGUAAACCUGCAACAUGAGAUUUUACUAUGAAGUCAAAUUUACCUGCAAAGUUGCUGCUGCUAGUGUGUGUUCAGAGUUGCCUACCAUAACAGUUUAGGAUGAGAAGAGCAGUGUUCCAAAUCAGUCUAAAAAACAAAAGCCAAUUUUGUUCUACUGAUCAAGGUUAUCACAGGUGGAAAAAGCAUCACAAUUUGCACAAACAUGUGAAAAACCAUUUGAUAUGCAUGUUGGUGAUCAUGGAAUGUUGCCGCAAACUGAUUGUUAGGAUUCAUAACCCUGGGCUUUGCCAAAGCCCUGUACAUAGUGCCAGUGGCUGCUCUUUUGAGGACCCAGUGGUUACAGGCAGUAAGUAGAUCAUAAUGAUUAUAAAUUAGAAGUUGCCAUUCUUGAUGAAGAAACAACAGAAAUGUUGAGGAAACUGGUAAGGUUGCAGACCCUACUAAAACUGCCUGUUCAUCUUCUCCAAAUGAAAAUGGAGUUCCCUUGACUGAAUUGAGUACAAGAAUUGCUUUUAGUUCUAUGCAUGUCUUGAACCUUCAGCUGUUGAAGAUAAUAUGGGGUUGAAUCUACUUGCUGCUAGAUGACUGACUCAAGAUCUGGGCCGUAAGUUUACACGAUCCGAAGGCCUACAUCAAGUCUGACCGAUCUGGGUCAAUCCCACAAAUGGGCUCUAAUAGUGGAAUGAUAAAGUGAAAGUAUUAAUAAAUCUCUGAAUAUUAUUAGGAUUCAAUACAUGAAUUGAACAAAAAUAUAUGAAAAAAGCUUCUUUUUUUU
This is a non-coding RNA of Musa acuminata subsp. malaccensis (wild Malaysian banana), 3085 nucleotides long. The record is from RefSeq and is a predicted model, not a curated record. Lineage: Eukaryota; Viridiplantae; Streptophyta; Magnoliopsida; Zingiberales; Musaceae.